Molecule: unclassified non-coding RNA, 753 nt
Filed under: uncultured fungus
Lineage: Eukaryota; Fungi
Description: partial contains 18S rRNA, ITS1, 5.8S rRNA, ITS2 and 28S rRNA
Rfam family: 5.8S ribosomal RNA (bases 466-619)
Source: RNAcentral
UAUAAAUAAGGGUCUGCAAGUCGCUCAGCGGCUACACAAUCGAAUUGCGGGAACUACCUAAAGCCUACAGUACCACCCUCCCCAAGAAAUUGGUGGGGCACGGUCAGAAUCUGUAGGAUGGUACAAUGGUUGAUCCGCAGCGAAGCUCCUACCGGCACUGCCCACGGAGAACGUUCACAGACUAGGUGGUUGUGGGGAGGGGUGACCUCUCUAAGAUAUAGUCGGGCUGUUGGGGAAACCUGGCAGGCAUUCGCUGAAUGAAACCGUUCCGUAGGUGAACCUGCGGAAGGAUCAUUACAGAGUAUCAUGCCCUCACGGGUAGAUCUCCACCCUGUGUUAUAAGUUACCUUUGUUGCUUUGGCGGGUCGCCGGUUCGCCGGCUCCUGGGGUCCCCUUGGACGUACCCGCCAAGGAACUUUUACAAACUCUGUGUUAAGUGUCGUCUGAGUACUAUAUAAUAGUUAAAACUUUCAACAACGGAUCUCUUGGUUCUGGCAUCGAUGAAGAACGCAGCGAAAUGCGAUAAGUAAUGUGAAUUGCAGAAUUCAGUGAAUCAUCGAAUCUUUGAACGCACAUUGCGCCCUGUGGUAUUCCGCAGGGCAUGCCUGUUCGAGCGUCAUUACAACCCUCAAGCUCUGCUUGGUGUUGGGCCACACCGGUAACGGUCGGCCCUAAAAUCAGUGGCGGUGCUGUCAGGCCCUAAGCGUAGUAAUCUUUCUCGCUACAGGGUCCUGCUACGUGCUCGCUAGACAA